Molecule: long non-coding RNA, 1149 nt
Filed under: Anser brachyrhynchus (Pink-footed goose)
Lineage: Eukaryota; Metazoa; Chordata; Aves; Anseriformes; Anatidae
Description: lncRNA (ENSABRG00000021788.1)
Source: RNAcentral
AGAAACCCACCAUCUGCCCUUCAGUCAGCCCUUGAAGGAACAGUAGAUAGUAACAACACCAGUGACAUAGAACAUCUGAACAGUGUUUAUGGAGAUAUUCAAGCACUAUGCAGAAAUACUGGCUAAAAAAUUGCAUGAAGUUUCAGCAAAGACAGCUUCUACAGCACCUUAAAGAAAUAAAAGUUUAAAAAUUUGUUUUUGCUGUUUUCCAGAGUCCUAGAAUUACCUCUCCAGUGAAAGACAGAAAAAAUAUUGAUUUAAUUGAGUGGAUGUAAAGAUCUAAAAGAUUGGGUCUACGUCAGACUUCUCUUUUAUUAUGAGGUUUGGCUUCCUGCCAUGUGUUCAGGCAAUAAAUUGGCUGUAGCGGAGCUGCUUCUAGCAUUCAGCUGGGUGGAAGUAUCCCAACAGAGACGGUAGCAGGCACAACAAGGACUGGGAAGGUGAGGCAACUCAGGUUAUCAGGUUUUCUCAAGGAUUUCGACAAUGCUGCUCCGCUCAGGCCGCCAAAAGCCGUACGAAGUGCUUGCCUCUGGAAGGCAACUGGCUAAAGGCAAAUCUCUGCAGUGCAAUACAGCAGCAGCUUCUGAAAAGUCAGUAAAAUUGCCAGUGUUUAGACUGCGAAAAACAGUGAAGUGCUAUUUACUGACUGAAGAUUCAAAAACAGUGCAUUUUGACUUAGAUGAAGAUGGUCAUCAUGAAAUAUCAACCAAAGAUUCACAGUCCCAUGAAGAUAUCGCGUGGUUAAGUAUGUUCACAAGCAAUGAACCAGCAGUUAGUGCAAAAACAUGCUCUAAAAAUGUGGUGGUCCUCACACAGAGAUCAAAGCAUAACGAAUUUGUCCUGUUGUGCAAGGGUAAAAAGCAGCUCUGUCUGAAGGUCUUAAAAGGAUGUUGUUCAGAGCCAGAUUAUCCUUCAAUGAGAAGACGCAACAGGAAAACAUGCAAGCACGAAGAUCCUGACUUCAAACAGCUGAGCGAAGAUAAUCACUUUUUCAUCAUGCAUUGUGAAGGAGAGUCAGUGAAAUUCCAGUGCUAUGAAGACACAAAUUACUUUCUGCAUGUGAAUGAUGACUCACUUGAUAUACGCAAGCCAGAUCACAAAGACCCCAAUGGAGAGAAAAAUUUUUUCUUCAGGGUGUCAUACUUAUAG